RNAcentral lists this ribosomal RNA (831 nucleotides) under uncultured bacterium. Its description in RNAcentral is "bacterial SSU rRNA". It matches the Rfam family "Bacterial small subunit ribosomal RNA", at positions 37 to 916 of the family's 1533-position model. The record is from RNAcentral.
AGGUGGAGGACUAACACAUGCAAGUCGAGCGCGCCCUUCGGGGUGAGCGGCGGACGGGUUAGUAACGCGUGGGAAUAUACCCGACACUAAGGAAUAGCCUCUGGAAACGGAGAGUAAUACCUUAUACGCCCUUCGGGGGAAAGAUUUAUCGGUGACGGAUUAGCCCGCGUUAGAUUAGAUAGUUGGUGGGGUAAUGGCCUACCAAGUCUACGAUCUAUAGCUGGUUUUAGAGGAUGAUCAGCAACACUGGGACUGAGACACGGCCCAGACUCCUACGGGAGGCAGCAGUGGGGAAUCUUGGACAAUGGGCGCAAGCCUGAUCCAGCCAUGCCGCGUGAGUGAUGAAGGCCUUAGGGUCGUAAAGCUCUUUCGCCAGAGAUGAUAAUGACAGUAUCUGGUAAAGAAACCCCGGCUAACCCCGUGCCAGCAGCCGCGGUAAUACGGAGGGGGUUAGCGUUGUUCGGAAUUACUGGGCGUAAAGCGCGCGUAGGCGGAUUAGUAAGUUAGAGGUGAAAUCCCGGGGCUCAACCCCGGAACUGCCUUUAAUACUGCUAGUCUUGAGUUCGAGAGAGGUGAGUGGAAUUCCGAGUGUAGAGGUGAAAUUCGUAGAUAUUCGGAGGAACACCUGUGGCGAAGGCGGCUCACUGGCUCGAUACUGACGCUGAGGUGCGAAAGUGUGGGGAGCAAACAGGAUUAGAUACCCUGGUAGUCCACACCGUAAACGAUGAAUGCCAGUCGUCGGGUAGCAUGCUAUUCGGUGACACACCUAACGGAUUAAGCAUUCCGCCUGGGGAGUACGGUCGCAAGAUUAAAACUCAAAUGAAUUGACGG